Molecule: long non-coding RNA, 501 nt
Organism: Nomascus leucogenys (northern white-cheeked gibbon)
Lineage: Eukaryota; Metazoa; Chordata; Mammalia; Primates; Hylobatidae
Exons: 3
Source: RefSeq, a predicted model, not a curated record
AUGCAGUGUUGGACUACAUAGGAAGUACAUAUCCUUCAUUAGUGCUGGCAAGACAGAUGAAUUAAUGCCUUUCAGGGAACUUCCCUAUUUGUUUAAUAUCUAACUAGCCCUAAAGUUAAUAUUCAAAAUUAUUGAUAAAAUGCAUUAGGAGAUCUGCUGGUAGAUGUCUUAAGAAGAAGAUCAGAGUUUCGGAAGGACAUUCUCACACAGAUCUCAGUUUACCUCCUAUUCCAGAGGGCAUAAAUAUGCAAUGGUACUAUUCAUAAACUCAACCAAUGGCACAAUCAUUUUAAUACUGACAUGCUUCAGUACAAAUAAAUAUAAUUCGGAGAAAAUCUUUCAUGAAUAUUCCUUACGGAGCUGAAUGUUAUCUGAAGCAAGAUAUUACUAUGGGAGGAUUAUAUUACAUGCACUCUGUUUUGGCAAUGCUUUGGGAUACAGUCAUUAAAUAGGUUGGCUGAAAAUUCAUUUCACUGGUUAAUUAAAUCCAAGAGUUUGCAA